This 446-nucleotide ribosomal RNA is filed under the name uncultured Coriobacteriaceae bacterium. RNAcentral's name for it is "bacterial SSU rRNA". It matches the Rfam family "Bacterial small subunit ribosomal RNA", at positions 338 to 795 of the family's 1533-position model. Lineage: Bacteria; Bacillati; Actinomycetota; Coriobacteriia; Coriobacteriales; Coriobacteriaceae. The record is from RNAcentral.
CCUACGGGUGGCUGCAGUGGGGAAUCUUGCGCAAUGGGCGAAAGCCUGACGCAGCGAUGCCGCGUGCGGGAUGAAGGCCUUCGGGUCGUAAACCGCUUUCAGCAGGGACGCGGCCGCAAGGUGACGGUACCUGCAGAAGAAGCCCCGGCUAACUACGUGCCAGCAGCCGGGGUAAUACGCAGGGGGCGAGCGUUAUCCGGAUUCAUUGGGCGUAAAGCGCGCGUAGGGGUCCUGUUAGGUCGGGAGUUAAAUCCGGGGGCUCAACCCCCGUCCGCUCCUGAUACCGGCAGGCUUGAGUCUGGUAGGGGAAGGCGGAAUUCCAAGUGUAGCGGUGGAAUGCGCAGAUAUUUGGAAGAACACCGGUGGCGAAGGCGGCCUUCUGGGCCACGACUGACGCUGAGGCGCGAAAGCUAGGGGAGCGAACAGGAUUAGAUACCCUAGUAGUC